GAUGAACGCUGGCGGCGUGCCUAAUACAUGCAAGUCGAGCGAACAGACGAGGAGCUUGCUCCUCGGACGUUAGCGGCGGACGGGUGAGUAACACGUGGAUAACCUACCUAUAAGACGGGGAUAACUUCGGGAAACCGGAGCUAAUACCGGAUAAUAUAUUGAACCGCAUGGUUCAAUAGUGAAAGACGGUUGUGCUGUCACUUAUAGAUGGAUCCGCGCCGCAUUAGCUAGUGGGUAAGGUAACGGCUUACCAAGGCAACGAUGCGUAGCCGACCUGAGAGGGUGAUAGGCCACACUGGAACUGAGACACGCUCCAGACUCCUACGGGAGGCAGCAGUAGGGAAUCUUCCGCAAUGGGCGAAAGCCUGACGGAGCAACGCCGCGUGAGUGAUGAAGGUCUUCGGAUCGUAAAACUCUGUUAUUAGGGAAGAACAAAUGUGUAAGUAACUAUGCACGUCUUGACGGUACCUAAUCAGAAAGCCACGGCUAACUACGUG
This 497-nucleotide ribosomal RNA is filed under the name uncultured bacterium. RNAcentral's name for it is "partial 16S ribosomal RNA". It matches the Rfam family "Bacterial small subunit ribosomal RNA", at positions 28 to 507 of the family's 1533-position model. The record is from RNAcentral.